GACGUACCGUCAGAAUUCAAAAAUUUCGGAUCAGUUUACAACGAUGAAUACCGUAACAUAUACAUUUUUGUUAGUUGCGGGCUUUGCCAUUGUCUUGAUCUCCAAUGUUACGGCUGUGCCGACAGGGUCAGCUGAAGAGAAGCCUGUUCCGCAAAAAUUAAAACUGCAACCUCUUCUUGAGUUGUGUCUUGAAGUAUAUCAAUUGCUUGGGCCCUGGUUUCCAGGAGGUUAAAAUGCAAUUAAAAUUGUAGCAAAAGAAGAUUAUGCUUAAGAAUUUAUGGCACAAUAUAUUUAACAGAUUUAAAUUAUAGCAAGCGUUCUAUAAAUUACCGAAAUUUUCUGUAAAUUACUUAAUGUUGUAAAAAGUUGCACAAAAUAAUAUUUUUGGUGUGGGAAAAACAUAA
Molecule: long non-coding RNA, 404 nt
Organism: Nylanderia fulva
Lineage: Eukaryota; Metazoa; Arthropoda; Insecta; Hymenoptera; Formicidae
Source: RefSeq, a predicted model, not a curated record